RNAcentral lists this ribosomal RNA (837 nucleotides) under uncultured bacterium. RNAcentral describes it as "bacterial SSU rRNA". It matches the Rfam family "Bacterial small subunit ribosomal RNA", at positions 8 to 852 of the family's 1533-position model. The record is from RNAcentral.
AGAGUUUGAUCAUGGCUCAGGAUAAACGCUGGCGGCGCACAUAAGACAUGCAAGUCGAACGGACUUAAUCCAUUCUUUAAGAUUGGAAGCGGUUAGUGGCGGACUGGUGAGUAAUACGUAAGCAACCUGCCUAUUAGAGGGGAACAACAGUUAGAAAUGACUGCUAAUACCGCAUAUGCCAUAGAUACCACAUGGUAUCAGUGGGAAAGGAGCAAUCCGCUAAUAGAUGGGCUUACGGCUGAUUAGCUAGUUGGUGGGGUAAAGGCCUACCAAGGCGACGAUCAGUAGCCGGACUGAGAGGUUCAACGGCCACAUUGGGACUGAGAUACGGCCCAGACUCCUACGGGAGGCAGCAGUCGGGAAUUUUGCGCAAUGGAGGAAACUCUGACGCAGUGACGCCGCGUGCAGGAAGAAGGUUUUCGGAUUGUAAACUGCUUUAGACAGGGAAGAACAAGGACAGUACCUGUAGAAUAAGCUCCGGCUAACUACGUGCCAGCAGCCGCGGUAAUACGUAGGGAGCAAGCGUUAUCCGGAUUUAUUGGGUGUAAAGGGUGCGUAGACGGGGAAAUAAGUUAGUUGUGAAAUCCCUCGGCUUAACUGAGGAACUGCAACUAAAACUGUUUUUCUUGAGUACUGGAGAGGAAAGUGGAAUUCCUAGUGUAGCGGUGAAAUGCGUAGAUAUUAGGAGGAACACCAGUGGCGAAGGCGACUUUCUGGACAGAAACUGACGUUGAGGCACGAAAGUGUGGGGAGCAAACAGGAUUAGAUACCCUGGUAGUCCACACUGUAAACGAUGGAUACUAGGUGUAGGGUGUGAAUAACACUCUGUGCCGUCGC